This 350-nucleotide ribosomal RNA is filed under the name uncultured bacterium. RNAcentral's name for it is "bacterial SSU rRNA". It matches the Rfam family "Bacterial small subunit ribosomal RNA", at positions 917 to 1267 of the family's 1533-position model. The record is from RNAcentral.
GGGCCCGCACAAGCGGUGGAGUAUGUGGUUUAAUUCGAUGCAACGCGAAGAACCUUACCAGGGUUUGACAUCCUGCGAAUCUCUUGGAAACAGGAGAGUGCCUUCGGGAACGCAGUGACAGGUGGGUGCAUGGCUGUCGUCAGCUCGUGUCGUGAGAUGUUGGGUUAAGUCCCGCAACGAGCGCAACCCACGUCUUUAGUUGCCAGCAUUUAGUUGGGCACUCUAGAGAGACUGCCGGUGAUAAACCGGAGGAAGGUGUGGAUGACGUCAAGUCAUCAUGCCCCUUACAUCCUGGGCUACACACGUGCUACAAUGGUAUCUACAACAGGAAGCAAGACUGCGAAGUUAAG